Molecule: ribosomal RNA, 336 nt
Filed under: Pseudonocardiales bacterium
Lineage: Bacteria; Bacillati; Actinomycetota; Actinomycetes; Pseudonocardiales
Description: bacterial SSU rRNA
Rfam family: Bacterial small subunit ribosomal RNA
Source: RNAcentral
ACGGAGAGUUUGAUCCUGGCUCAGGACGAACGCUGGCGGCGUGCUUUACACAUGCAAGUCGAGCGAGACCUCGCCUUCGGGCGAGUGCUCUGGCGGCGAACGGGUGAGUAACACGUGGGCAACCUGCCCUCAGCUCUGGGAUAACCCCGGGAAACCGGAGCUAAUACCGGAUACGACCACGGACGGCAUCAUCUCGUGGUGGAAAGAUUCAUCGGCUGAGGAUGGGCCCGCGGCCUAUCAGCUAGUUGGUGGGGUAAUGGCCUACCGAGGCAAUGAUCAGUAGCUGGUUUGAGAGGACGAUCAGCCACACUGGGACUGAGACACGGCCCAGACUCC